RNAcentral lists this ribosomal RNA (506 nucleotides) under uncultured bacterium. Its description in RNAcentral is "partial 16S ribosomal RNA". It matches the Rfam family "Bacterial small subunit ribosomal RNA", at positions 29 to 523 of the family's 1533-position model. The record is from RNAcentral.
AUUGAACGCUGGCGGCAGGCCUAACACAUGCAAGUCGAACGGCAGCACAGAAGAGCUUGCUCUUUGGGUGGCGAGUGGCGGACGGGUGAGUAAUGUCUGGGAAACUGCCCGAUGGAGGGGGAUAACUACUGGAAACGGUAGCUAAUACCGCAUAACGUCGCGAGACCAAAGUGGGGGACCUUCGGGCCUCACACCAUCGGAUGUGCCCAGAUGGGAUUAGCUAGUAGGUGGGGUAAUGGCUCACCUAGGCGACGAUCCCUAGCUGGUCUGAGAGGAGGACCGGCCACCCGGGAACUGAGACAAGGUCCAGACUCCUACAGGAGGCAGCAGUGGGGAAUAUUGCACAAUGGGCGCAGGCCUGAUGAAGCCAUGCCGCGUGUAUGAAGAAGGCCUUCGGGUUGUAAAGUACUUUCAGCGGGGAGGAAGGCGGUGAGGUUAAUAACCUUGCCGAUUGACGUUACCCGCAGAAGAAGCACCGGCUAACUCCGUGCCAGCAGCCGCCGCGG